GGGACGGCGCAGCACAUCUCGCGCUGCCAUAAGGGUUCCCGGGCACCUGAGUACCUGAUUUGGGAUCAGAGGGUCGCAUGUUCGAAUCAUGUCGCCCCG
This 99-nucleotide transfer RNA is filed under the name Cupriavidus gilardii. RNAcentral's name for it is "tRNA-Pro". Lineage: Bacteria; Pseudomonadati; Pseudomonadota; Betaproteobacteria; Burkholderiales; Burkholderiaceae. The record is from RNAcentral.